This 508-nucleotide ribosomal RNA is filed under the name uncultured bacterium. RNAcentral describes it as "partial 16S ribosomal RNA". It matches the Rfam family "Bacterial small subunit ribosomal RNA", at positions 28 to 523 of the family's 1533-position model. The record is from RNAcentral.
GAUGAACGCUAGCUACAGGCUUAACACAUGCAAGUCGAGGGGAAACGAUAUUGGAAGCUUGCUUUUUCUAGGCGUCGACCGGCGCACGGGUGAGUAACGCGUAUCCAACCUGCCCAUCACUUGGGGAUAACCUUGCGAAAGUAAGACUAAUACCCAAUGACGUCCAUAGAAGACAUCUGAAAGGGAUUAAAGAUUUAUCGGUGAUGGAUGGGGAUGCGUCUGAUUAGCUUGUUGGCGGGGUAACGGCCCACCAAGGCGACGAUCAGUAGGGGUUCUGAGAGGAAGGUCCCCCACAUUGGAACUGAGACACGGUCCAAACUCCUACGGGAGGCAGCAGUGAGGAAUAUUGGUCAAUGGGCGAGAGCCUGAACCAGCCAAGUAGCGUGCAGGAUGACGGCCCUAUGGGUUGUAAACUGCUUUUAUAAGGGAAUAAAGUGAGCCUCGUGAGGCUUUUUGCAUGUACCUUAUGAAUAAGGACCGGCUAAUUCCGUGCCAGCCGCCGCAGUAA